GAUGAACGCUAGCUACAGGCUUAACACAUGCAAGUCGCGGGGCAGCAUGGGGGUUGCUUGCAAUCCCCGAUGGCGACCGGCGCACGGGUGAGUAACGCGUAUCCAACCUGCCCUUCACCACGGGAUAACCCGGCGAAAGUCGGACUAAUACCGUAUGUUGUCCAUUGACGGCAUCCGAUUUGGACGAAAGGUUUGGCGGUGAAGGAUGGGGAUGCGUCCGAUUAGCUGGACGGCGGGGUGACGGCCCACCGUGGCGACGAUCGGUAGGGGUUCUGAGAGGAAGGUCCCCCACACUGGAACUGAGACACGGUCCAGACUCCUACGGGAGGCAGCAGUGAGGAAUAUUGGUCAAUGGGCGUAAGCCUGAACCAGCCAAGUAGCGUGCAGGAUGACGGCCCUAUGGGUUGCAAACUGCUUUUAUGCGGGGAUAAAGUGGCCCACGUGUGGGUUUUUGCAGGUACCGCAUGAAUAGGGACCGGCUAAUUCCG
RNAcentral lists this ribosomal RNA (488 nucleotides) under uncultured bacterium. RNAcentral describes it as "partial 16S ribosomal RNA". It matches the Rfam family "Bacterial small subunit ribosomal RNA", at positions 28 to 505 of the family's 1533-position model. The record is from RNAcentral.